Long non-coding RNA from Vicia villosa (hairy vetch), 1483 nucleotides. RefSeq lists it as uncharacterized. The transcript has 2 exons. The record is from RefSeq and is a predicted model, not a curated record. Lineage: Eukaryota; Viridiplantae; Streptophyta; Magnoliopsida; Fabales; Fabaceae.
UUUACAAACCCUCACGCCUUUUCUGUUUCUCCAAACCCUCACUCACGCCUUUCUGAAAACGUUCAAACUCUUUCUUCUCCAAACUUGGUUCUCCAAACUUUUGCAAUUACGCCUGACCUCCUAUUUCAAACGUGACAGUGACGGUGAAGUCCAUUUUAGCGGUGAUGUAAUGGUGAAGUUCGAUUUCAACAUAAAAGAUGACAGUGAGGUCCGAUUUCAACCUAAAAGGUGAGGAUGAAGUCCGAUUUCAAUCGGUUGCCUCAGAUCCCGUUGAGUUCACGCCCAAAUCCUUUCGAUUUCAACGUUUUCUCGAAUCCCUUUGAUUCUGAUGAGUGGUUGCUGCCUCUAAUCCCUUCGAUUACGCCAUUUUCAGAGGUAAAAGUGGUGUUGGACUUGAUUGUUUUGUCGAUUUAUAUUGUAUUUGAACUUUGAUUUUGACAAGUGUUGCACUUGAGUAUUUGCUUACUUGUUUUUGAACUUUUACUAUUCAUUGUUGUUCAUUGUGGAUGGAAACAAACAGGGACUAACAUCAUCUCUCAUAACAACCCCACGACGCCGUAACAACAACCUUCUCAUUCAUUUGUUUGUUUGUUGUUUAAACUUUUAAGUGCGAGAAAGCAAACAAAUUUCUUUUCAAAUGAGAUUUUCAUGUAUGCUUAAUUUAUUAUUUUUUAUUCUGAAACUUGAAGGUAUAGUUAUUAUACCCCGCUGCUUUUGAUCGGUACUCCUCCUCAGAGAUUUGCUAUUAUUGAUACAGAGAGUGUUGUUACUUAUGUUUUGAGCUCUACUUAUGAGCACUAGUAAGCACCAGGUAAUGUUACAGACAUUUUUAAGUGGAGGAAGCCUCUCAUUUGUAAAGAAGAUUCACUCAUUUGCUAUAUCAACCAUAAUAUCUGGCCUUGUUAAGUGGUACCCAAUGAUAGGAUAGUGUAGCAACCUGCCCUAAAAAUUAAAGUUUAGAGUCGCCACCUAUUCUGAAGGGCGAAUAGGAAACCCUACGCAGUAUAGAGAUCGAGGUAAGAUACUAUAUUCAGGUCGAGGGAAGGUGUUAGGCACCCUCAACCCUUUCCUAAAGGCUAACAUUUCAAAGAUAAAGGUUUAUGGCAAGGUUUAUAGCUAAGGAAGUGAAUAGGGAAAAAAAUGAGAUUUUAGGGAGGGGGACUCGCCUUGUUGCCAACUGCCUACGUAUCUCCUUAUGGAGAAUCAGAGUCAACGUAGUUCGGGGGACGGGUUGUACGCCUUUAAGGUUUGAAAUUUGAUUUGAAGGUUUGAAGGCUUUGAAUAGCCUGUCGUAGAUAAAAAUCUGUAUUUGGAGUUUGAAGUUUGAAAAAAUGUUUUGAAGUUGUUUUAGAUGUUCUGGGCGUACAACCCUGAUUUGGCACAAUUAACCGCAAUGAUCAAUAGGUUUGAUCACCAUAGUCAAAAGAUUAGGGGUUUUGUACCAUUACCAAUUCAAAUCGAUUGAUUCGAUUAUCACUAAUAA